UGGGGAUGACGUCAAAUCAUCAUGCCCCUUAGUAUCCCGGGCUACACACGUGCUACAAUGGCCGGUACAAAGGGAGGGCGAACCCGCGAGGGGGAGCAAAUCCCGUCAAAGCCGGUCACAGUUCGGAUUGCAAGCUGCAACUCGCCUGCAUGAAGUCGGAAUCGCUAGUAAUCGCGGAUCAGCAUGCCGCGGUGAAUACGUUCCCGGGCCUU
Molecule: ribosomal RNA, 212 nt
Filed under: uncultured Neomoorella sp.
Lineage: Bacteria; Bacillati; Bacillota; Clostridia; Neomoorellales; Neomoorellaceae
Description: uncultured Moorella sp. partial 16S ribosomal RNA
Rfam family: Bacterial small subunit ribosomal RNA
Source: RNAcentral